UGGGGAAUUUUGGACAAUGGGCGCAAGCCUGAUCCAGCCAUACCGCGUGAGUGAAGAAGGCCUUCGGGUUGUAAAGCUCUUUCAGACGGAAAGAAACGGUUACGGCUAAUACCCGUGACUAAUGACGGUACCGUAAGAAGAAGCACCGGCUAACUACGUGCCAGCAGCCGCGGUAAUACGUAGGGUGCGAGCGUUAAUCGGAAUUACUGGGCGUAAAGCGUGCGCAGGCGGUUUGGUAAGACAGAUGUGAAAUCCCCGGGCUUAACCUGGGAACUGCAUUUGUGACUGCCAGACUAGAGUGUAGCAGAGGGGGGUAGAAUUCCACGUGUAGCAGUGAAAUGCGUAGAUAUGUGGAGGAAUACCGAUGGCGAAGGCAGCCCCCUGGGCUAACACUGACGCUCAUGCACGAAAGCGUGGGGAGCGAAACGAGU
This 431-nucleotide ribosomal RNA is filed under the name uncultured bacterium. RNAcentral describes it as "bacterial SSU rRNA". It matches the Rfam family "Bacterial small subunit ribosomal RNA", at positions 355 to 778 of the family's 1533-position model. The record is from RNAcentral.